Non-coding RNA from Podarcis lilfordi (Lilford's wall lizard), 344 nucleotides. Lineage: Eukaryota; Metazoa; Chordata; Lepidosauria; Squamata; Lacertidae. The record is from the annotation of a GenBank genome assembly.
CCACCAGUUCCAUAUAAUCCAUCAAUUUCAUCUGCCAUUCCUCCAGCGUUGGAAGUUCUUGUGUCUUCCAAUACUUUGCGAUGAGUAUUCUUGCUGCUGUUGUUGCAUACAUAAAGUUCUAUCCUUUUUUAACACCAUUUGGCCGACUAUGCCCAGGAGAAAGGCCUCUGGUUUCUUGGGGAAGGUAUAUUUGAAUACCUUUUUUAAUUCAUUAUAUAUCAUUUCCCAGAAAGCCUUAAUCUUUGGGCACGUCCACCAAAGGUGAAAAAAUGUACCUUCAGUUUCUUUACAUUUCCAACAUUUAUUAUCGGGCAAAUGAUAGAUUUUUGCAAGCUUGACUGGGG